ACCGCCCUCUGCUGCAAGACACUUGCGCCCACCACACCUCUUUGAGGUAGUCUUUGGAACAUAACAAGUCAAAAAAUUCGAGAGGGGGCGCAACUCACCGGUGGCUGGCUGAAUCACACACUAACACAGAGGCUGUCCGGAGUCGUGCGGUGUAUGGGGCACGGACAGCUUUCUCUUGGAGUCAUCAGCAAGGCUCCCUACGCCAUUAAAGCAAGUCUUACAAUUAAAAAAAGUGCGCUUGACAAAAUGCGGAAGUGACGUUGAUGACUAGAGGCGGGAAAGAUGACCUUUUGGCUAAGGCUAACAACCCAAGGAAAUCGUGUUUCGCAAAUAUCAGCGGGGAUGUUUUUCUGUCUUUACGCCGUUGGAAGCCACCUCUUCGACAACUGGCAAAAAGAGUCGAUCUAAGUGGACCAUCUUAGUUUUGUUUGGGUUUUACCGCAGAACCUACAUUAUCUGAAAUCAACACAUCGUCACGGAGCCUGAAAAUGUCUCUUUUGAAGUCCAGAUUUUGUAUGAUUAAGAAGGCCCACCUGUGGUUGAAGUGGUCCACCAUCCAGACCGAGACCAAUGUGGACAAUUAAGGUCCCCCAUGGCCUCGUAGCUGGGGUUGGGUGGAACAAACUAGAGUUCAACUUGGAUCCAACUACCUGGAGUCGCUUUGGAUCCAGCACCACAAACAUCUCCUGUCCCGCAGACCCCAUAAAGACCCCGGGGAUCAAAUCCCCAUUCCUUGUCUUUAUUCUUAAAACAACAGAAUUGUUUUCUUUUGAGGUCCAGAAAUGUGUGUCGGUGGCUGAAGUGGUCCACCAGCCAAAAGAAAAACAAGGUGGACCACUUCAGAGCCACAUUUAUAUUGGACAUGGGGGAACGUUGGGGAAAGGAGAUCUUCAACCUGGCCGAAUUUACAUCAUCUUCGUUUGGAUCCAGAUAUGUGGAGACACUUGAAGAUUGGCGAUGGUUUAGUUUAUUCUAAAAAAAUGUAAAAAACGGCACACCCACGCUUGAAAGAAAGACGAAAUUGCAGUUGACAAGAGGCGGUAAAGACGACCGGCAAACGGACAUUCUACAAAAAUGUUUCGUCAGGCUUACCAAGUCGAGGUUUUCUGUGCUCACCGCCGUCGGAGGCCACCCAUUCCAAAAUUGGUGGGUUCAGAUGUCAAGUUAAAAGGUUCAGUCUUCAUAAAGGUGACAAAUGGAACCACAGACAGGGGUUUGGACAAGGACAUUAAAGGACUCGUCCUAAACAUCGAGUCUGACACCAUUUGAGUUUUGUCAGUUCCUCCUCUGCUGCAGUACAAAGUAGAGACGCUGAAUAGAUAAACGUCUUGUUGCUUCACUUAUGUGCUUCCAAACUCCGCCUUCCUGCAGCACCACAUACAUCUGUCACGCAGACCCCUUAUGAUCCAGCUACAUGGAGACACUGCGGAUCCAGAUGGAUCCGGAGGGUGUAUUUUACAGACGGGGAGUACUCAGAGGACGAGAUCUUCAAUGAUUUUUAAGCUCCCCCUCCCCCAGUGGGCCAAAUAGUAGAUCCUGAUGGCCCGCAGAGUCUGCUGGUUGUCUCUACCUGCUGGAUCAACCCCACCAACAGCUGCAUGAGAAGAAUGACUGUAAAGUCCCCCCCCCAACAAUGACUGCACAGAGGAAUCUGCCCCCACCAUUACACCAUUUCAGAGUCACCUCAUCAAGAACUGUUAUCAGAUCCAGGGAGAACGCUGGAAGAUCAACUGAUAGCAGAGAGUCGGGGCCAGGAUAAAGUAGCACAUGUCUUCAAAAUGAAUGGACCUGUUGGAUCAAACUGUUUCCUGUUGAAAGUAGAGUAGAUGUUUACAGAGUUCUGCAGGAUCAGGUUUUGGUUUCUGACAUUUUGCUUUGUUACAUUUUUUUUUUUAAAUUGACGUUGGGAUCUUAAUGUUUUUGUAUCGAGUGAUUUGUUGAAUGAUUUGCACUUCAGGGCCUCUGUAUUAUAUUCUUUAUUUCUGUCUGACAAACACAUUAAAACAAAGAAUUAUAAUAACAA
Non-coding RNA from Oryzias latipes (Japanese medaka), 2023 nucleotides. Lineage: Eukaryota; Metazoa; Chordata; Actinopteri; Beloniformes; Adrianichthyidae. The record is from RefSeq and is a predicted model, not a curated record.